This is a non-coding RNA of Triticum urartu, 4138 nucleotides long. The record is from RefSeq and is a predicted model, not a curated record. Lineage: Eukaryota; Viridiplantae; Streptophyta; Magnoliopsida; Poales; Poaceae.
CUAUGAAUAGUGCCGCGAGCAUUGCGUCCCGUGCAAGUAGAGAAGCGAGAGAGAAAAAGAAGCGGGCGAGCAACUGUAGCUAGCGACACCUAACCCGCGUCUCCACCAUGACCCCCGCCUCCUCUCCUGCCGCCGCCGCGCCCUCCCCACCCGCACGCGACCCACCAUCCUCUUCGACCUCCCUCCUAGCCGCCGCUGCCUCUCCUUCUCUUCCUCCUCUCUCUCCUGCUCCGCCGUCCUCCCCCCAUCCACCCAUGCUGCACUCCUAUCCUGUAUCCCGCUGGAUCCGAGGCUUCUCCGACGGAGACGAUGACCUGUAGGCAAAGGGUGACAAUGCAGAGGAGAUGGAGGUGCAGCAGCAUACGGGAGAGGGUCACCAGCCAGCGUCGUCCUGUGCUGGUGAGGUCGGGCUCCACCAUUCCUGUCCGUCGUCCUUACGCGUCACCGGCGCUGGAGUUGCGCGGGGUGUGGGGAAAGCAAGGAGAGGGAGGGGAUGAGUGGGAGGCGCGAGGACGAAGGCGCUCCGGCGGCGGGGCCCGCCAGCCAUGCAGUGCUGGUCGUGGAGUACUCCAGAUCCCCUUUCGCUCGCUGCCACCACGGCCUUUCUCGCCAUCGACCUCCCAGGCUAUUCUCUCCCCAAAUUGUGCCUACAUGGCCAGAUUUAUUCAAGCCCCAGGUGAAGACACCUCCCUCACUGUCCAAGCGUGCUUCUCUACAUGGGCGGCGUCACCACGACCAGUUUGCCGAUUCAAGCCAAGGGUUGCAUUAGAUCUUCACGAAUCAUAUCUAUUAUUUUGAGGAGCACUCAAACAAUUGUAUUGCAAAACAGUAUGCCUUUGUUUGACGGUGUAUUCACCUCAUCAUACCAUCUGUUCUAAUCAAGGCCACAGUCACUGCCCGGAAGGAGAUGUCGGGGUUGUUAUUGACUGGGAGGAGACAAGGAGUAGGAGACAGCAGGAGAGGCAGUAAGCAUCUUGACAAUGAUAGCCGUCACCCGGCUUAUUUGGUUAUCCUUCAUAUGCCUCCUAGGCUGGUUUGUGGGAAUUGACAUGCAUUGCUGUUCCAUUUUACUGAUUUAUUUGAUAAAUAUGUGACCAUACGGGUAACCUAUUGUUUGUUUUAGCACUAUCGGACAAUGCAUUCCUAUUUAACAGGGAAUUGCUUAUCUAUGAUUCAGGCUAGAACAAUUGUUUUCUACUAACGAUUGAAGUUCUACUGUAUUCUUCAGAUUUGCGUAGCGCAUACUGCUCUUUGAACAAGCAGUUGAUGUCUUCACAAAAACUGCUCAAAACCAACUAUGUGUUGUGGUACAGAUCUUUUAUCUCUUUGUUUUGCUCCCUCAAAUUGUUGGAAAAAUGGCUAGCCUAUUUCUUCCUUCAGAUGAUACAUAUGAACAGAUAAUGCUAGGUGGUAGCCUUGCAAGAUGCGCUUUGAUGUUCAUAUGUACUGUCUGCUUGAUGAGAGAAAAAACAAUAAUAUAAUAGAUAGUAAGACGUGUGCUGUUGCUUUGAUAUGGCUUGGAAAAGAGGGUUUAGUAAGGGGAAAUAGCUGGCUGUUAUAGUGUGGCUUUCAUAGUUAGUUAUUUGUUAGAAAAGCUUAAACCUGUUUGUUCCUUGCCAGUCUUAAAGAUCUUCCAAUGCUUGUGAUCCUUUUCCAUAGCUAUUACUUAUUUGUUAGAAAAUAUUACAAUUUCUUCAUUCUACAUGCGGCAAUCGAUUGUUGGAGGUGGUAAUAAUGUAUAAAUUGGCAUGAAAAGCAAGGAUGCAGAACAGAUGGAAAAAUUGAUGUUGAACUCGAAAAUACAUCGCAAGAAAUUUUCUUCAGAGAUGCUAUGAAAAAAAUGAAUAUAUUCUACUGUUUGUGAACAUGUAGGAGAAUGAUAUAUACAUUUAUAGAGUAUGUCCUGCUCGAGAACGGCGGCAAUGGAUGCCGGUGCUCCUCUUCAUCUUUCCCGACCUGCAAGGACGUAAGCAUCCAGUACAGGACUGCACCAGCGCCGGUGGGGGUGUCUGGGGCGCCAGCUCGUCAUCGUCCACACCGUGCUGGAGCAGACACGCCUCUGUACAGCUCUCACGCCCGCAGGAAAAGUUCAAGCUCAUACGACGAUGCUGUUGUUUUUGACCUCCAAGGACGCGUGCCGACAUCCGGGUACGCAAGCAACCAAUACAACCACGACAUGGUCCAGUCGGCCUUCUCUGACGAGCUUCCGCCCUGCACCAAUAGCAGCACCGUGCUGGCUGCUGCAGCAUUGAGUUAACAGCGGUGGUAAGACGGCGACCAUCCCUUCCUUCCUUGCUUGUUUGCAACGAUUUAAUUUUCACCUAGCUCGCUAGACUGGUUUGUUUUGGGGGUGCUCUAAUCUGAUCCCUUGGAGGUGGAUUCACUUCACAUGGAUGGAAACGGAUGCCCUUUAUUUUGUUUAUUCUGUAAUAAAUUCCAAUCAGAAGAAUGUUGUGUCAGUUCACUUGUACACAUGUAUAAAAUAGAGAGGGUAAUUCGGUUCAGAGCGAGACACAUGGAUAGUUCAACCCUGUUUUUUUGUUGUUUCUGACAACAAAUUCAUCAACCAAGCCAGGCAUACAAUGCUACGACUCACUUUUGCUGCUACGUUCACUUGCAACCAGAACACCAGGCCUAAGCUACAACAAACCAGAACACCAGGCCUAGGUCACGAUUCAGCUGAACAGUAGCCUUUUCUUCUGCGUUUAGAGAAGAAAGAAGCCGGUACCUACAGAUGGCAGCAGUUACUCAGUUGAAUCCCAACCUCCGAGUGCAUAGAAUCUACAUUGAUGUAGUUAGCCAUGGAAUAUAGGUCACUGUAUGGCACCAACAGCAUGUGAACCUGCUGCUUGGCGUCUCUAGGGAUCUCCCCCUGGUGGCGCCCUGGGGAGGCGUCGCGAGGGCAUUGGAAACUGCUUAUAUUAUUGAACCUAAUUAUGUAUAAAAUCCCCAUGUUUCUCUUGCUUGCUACUCAAAGCAAGAGCUGGUUGUCCUAAAAAACUUGUGAUAUGACACCGAGGUACUUUUCCCUGUAUGCCAGUGGUGCUAUCUGCAACCCAUUUGCUGCUACUCCUAGCUUACUUUAAAUUUGACUUCCAGUAGGCUUUAAUAUACACAUAACUUUCCAUUAUAUUGUGUUUUUGUGCCAUGUGCGAUGUUGGCUAUCCUCUGUGUGUGAACAUUUAGCUUACUUUUGCAACUAACUAUGAUUUUACAUUUAGCUUGCAAUAAUAUAAUAGCUGAUCCAUUUCAUUCUGAAGUUAAUCUGCUACGUCGCCUCAAAUUUGCAGCAACGCUAUUGUUGCUUUGGAAAUUCUAUUGGAUCUUAUAAAGAUUUUUGGACCUAUUAUUCAUUCGACAUUAUCAGCUCGCUCACUCGUUGGAGUAGAUCUUUACGCCGGAAAGAGGUAUGCUCCCCAAAUUUACUCGAAGAAGGGAGCUGGGUGUUGCUAAGAGAGAUGUUGUCAAAACUUGUGUUGCUACAAGUCUACCAAGGAACUCGGUGCGAGGUGGCAAGUUGGACACAAACUUAUGUUUUGCCGAAACGGUUGCCCUGAAACGAACCGCAUAAUUACUGCAGUCAUCAGUAGCAUAUUUACUCUAGCUGGAACCUAAUUCUCAUAUCCCAUUAAGCUCAUGUGCAUAAAUCAACUAGGUUAAAGAGUGCUAUCAAUUUCCUCAAGAAGACCAGUUGAGAUAUUAUAUGCAUGAUGUGGAUUGUUGAGUUUGCUUGGUUAUUGGAAUGCCAUGCCUGUGCAGAUCAGCGGGGGCUGAGUCCAGGGUGAGACCUUCAAGAUGGAUUUGUUGUUACCGUUAUUUUAGUUUGCGGGUAGAGGAUAUGAUUCCAGCAAGACCGAGACAACGAUGAUGAAAGGUGAGAUUUAUGUUAAGGAAUAUUAGCAGAUGUUCACAGGAUCACUGGAAGCAUAUAAAGGUAUCCACAAGGAUAGUUGCUUUCUUAUCGACUCAGAAUUAAAGUAUAGUUAUAGACAGUCAAGAGUAGUUGUCUUUUUAUUUAUUCGAAAACACAGUGUACCUUUUGUGAUCGUAGCUGUAUGCAAUGAUCCAUCAUGUAUUUUUUUUCUAAACCACAACCCCUAAUUGUUUGAUGUUAUGAAAUGUCUAUGUUUUUUGUUUA